RNAcentral lists this transfer RNA (94 nucleotides) under Urocitellus parryii (Arctic ground squirrel). RNAcentral describes it as "Spermophilus parryii (Arctic ground squirrel) tRNA". It matches the Rfam family "tRNA". Rfam says of the family: Transfer RNA (tRNA) molecules are approximately 80 nucleotides in length. Their secondary structure includes four short double-helical elements and three loops (D, anti-codon, and T loops). The record is from Rfam by way of RNAcentral. Lineage: Eukaryota; Metazoa; Chordata; Mammalia; Rodentia; Sciuridae. RNAcentral also lists the same sequence under 2 other names.
GGGGAUAUAGCUCAGUUGGUAGAGUGCUUGCCUACUGGGUUCAAUCCUGAGUUCAAUCCCAGCAAAGUCCUGGGUUCAAUCCCCAGCACCACCA